CUUGUAGGCGGUUCGUUAAGUCUGGUGUGAAAUCUCCCGGCUCAACCGGGAGGGGUCAUUGGAUACUGGCGGACUAGAGACGGGUAGAGGAAAGCAGAAUUCCCGGUGUAGCGGUGAAAUGCGUAGAUAUCGGGAGGAAUACCAGUGGCGAAGGCGGCUUUCUGGGCCUGUUCUGACGCUGAGGAGCGAAAGCGUGGGGAGCAAACG
RNAcentral lists this ribosomal RNA (207 nucleotides) under uncultured bacterium. Its description in RNAcentral is "partial 16S ribosomal RNA". It matches the Rfam family "Bacterial small subunit ribosomal RNA", at positions 568 to 774 of the family's 1533-position model. The record is from RNAcentral.